GAUGGACGCUGGCGGCGUGCCUAAUACAUGCAAGUCGAGCGAACGGACGAGAAGCUUGCUUUUCUGAUGUUAGCGGCGGACGGGUGAGUAACACGUGGAUAACCUACCUAUAAGACUGGGAUAACUUCGGGAAACCGGAGCUAAUACCGGAUAAUAUUUUGAACCGCAUGGUUCAAAAGUGAAAGACGGUCUUGCUGUCACUUAUAGAUGGAUCCGCGCUGCAUUAGCUAGUUGGUAAGGUAACGGCUUACCAAGGCAACGAUGCAUAGCCGACCUGAGAGGGUGAUCGGCCACACUGGAACUGAGACACGGUCCAGACUCCUACGGGAGGCAGCAGUAGGGAAUCUUCCGCAAUGGGCGAAAGCCUGACGGAGCAACGCCGCGUGAGUGAUGAAGGUCUUCGGAUCGUAAAACUCUGUUAUUAGGGAAGAACAUAUGUGUAAGUAACUGUGCACAUCUCGACGGUACCUAAUCAGAAAGCCACGGCUAACUACGUG
This 497-nucleotide ribosomal RNA is filed under the name uncultured bacterium. RNAcentral's name for it is "partial 16S ribosomal RNA". It matches the Rfam family "Bacterial small subunit ribosomal RNA", at positions 28 to 507 of the family's 1533-position model. The record is from RNAcentral.